Molecule: ribosomal RNA, 407 nt
Filed under: uncultured prokaryote
Description: bacterial SSU rRNA
Rfam family: Bacterial small subunit ribosomal RNA
Source: RNAcentral
UGGGGAAUAUUGCACAAUGGGCGGAAGCCUGAUGCAGCGACGCCGCGUGUAGGAUGACGGCCUUCGGGUUGUAAACUACUUUCGGUAGGGACGAAGCGUGAGUGACGGUACCUACAGAAGAAGCACCGGCCAACUACGUGCCAGCAGCCGCGGUAAUACGUAGGGUGCGAGCGUUGUCCGGAAUUACUGGGCGUAAAGAGCUCGUAGGCGGUUUGUCGCGUCGUCUGUGAAAUUCUACGGCUUAACCGUGGGCGUGCAGGCGAUACGGGCAGACUUGAGUACUAUAGGGGAGACUGGAAUUCCUGGUGUAGCGGUGGAAUGCGCAGAUAUCAGGAGGAACACCGAUGGCGAAGGCAGGUCUCUGGGUAGUAACUGACGCUGAGGAGCGAAAGCAUGGGUAGCGAACA